RNAcentral lists this ribosomal RNA (1410 nucleotides) under uncultured Bacilli bacterium. Its description in RNAcentral is "bacterial SSU rRNA". It matches the Rfam family "Bacterial small subunit ribosomal RNA", at positions 27 to 1392 of the family's 1533-position model. The record is from RNAcentral. Lineage: Bacteria; Bacillati; Bacillota; Bacilli.
GGAUGAACGCUGGCGGCGUGCCUAAUACAUGCAAGUCGAACGCUUUGUGGUUCAACUGAUUUGAAGAGCUUGCUCAGAUAUGACGAUGGACAUUGCAAAGAGUGGCGAACGGGUGAGUAACACGUGGGAAACCUACCUCUUAGCAGGGGAUAACAUUUGGAAACAGAUGCUAAUACCGUAUAACAAUGACAACCGCAUGGUUGUUAUUUAAAAGAUGGUUCUGCUAUCACUAAGAGAUGGUCCCGCGGUGCAUUAGCUAGUUGGUAAGGUAAUGGCUUACCAAGGCGAUGAUGCAUAGCCGAGUUGAGAGACUGAUCGGCCACAAUGGGACUGAGACACGGCCCAUACUCCUACGGGAGGCAGCAGUAGGGAAUCUUCCACAAUGGGCGAAAGCCUGAUGGAGCAACGCCGCGUGUGUGAUGAAGGGUUUCGGCUCGUAAAACACUGUUGUAAGAGAAGAAUGACAUUGAGAGUAACUGUUCAAUGUGUGACGGUAUCUUACCAGAAAGGAACGGCUAAAUACGUGCCAGCAGCCGCGGUAAUACGUAUGUUCCAAGCGUUAUCCGGAUUUAUUGGGCGUAAAGCGAGCGCAGACGGUUAUUUAAGUCUGAAGUGAAAGCCCUCAGCUCAACUGAGGAAUUGCUUUGGAAACUGGAUGACUUGAGUGCAGUAGAGGAAAGUGGAACUCCAUGUGUAGCGGUGAAAUGCGUAGAUAUGUGGAAGAACACCAGUGGCGAGGGCGGCUUUCUGGACUGUAACUGACGUUGAGGCUCGAAAGUGUGGGUAGCAAACAGGAUUAGAUACCCUGGUAGUCCACACCGUAAACGAUGAGUGCUAGGUGUUUGAGGGUUUCCGCCCUUAAGUGCCGCAGCUAACGCAUUAAGCACUCCGCCUGGGGAGUACGACCGCAAGGUUGAAACUCAAAGGAAUUGACGGGGACCCGCACAAGCGGUGGAGCAUGUGGUUUAAUUCGAAGCAACGCGAAGAACCUUACCAGGUCUUGACAUCCCUUGACAACUCCAGAGAUGGAGCGUUCCCUUCGGGGACAAGGUGACAGGUGGUGCAUGGUUGUCGUCAGCUCGUGUCGUGAGAUGUUGGGUUAAGUCCCGCAACGAGCGCAACCCUUAUUACUAGUUGCCAGCAUUUAGUUGGGCACUCUAGUGAGACUGCCGGUGACAAACCGGAGGAAGGUGGGGAUGACGUCAAAUCAUCAUGCCCCUUAUGACCUGGGCUACACACGUGCUACAAUGGCGUAUACAACGAGUUGCCAACCCGCGAGGGUGAGCUAAUCUCUUAAAGUACGUCUCAGUUCGGAUUGUAGGCUGCAACUCGCCUACAUGAAGUCGGAAUCGCUAGUAAUCGCGGAUCAGCACGCCGCGGUGAAUACGUUCCCGGGUCUUGUACUCACCG